UGUUAGGAGCCCUGAUCCAGAGCUUCCUCUGAGGCCUCCCAGCAAGAGUGGAUGCUUCCACCAUUGCCGCUUCAAAGCCUCUUCAUGGGUGCGGCUCAAACUUUCACCUUGAGGGCAUCUAGAGCAGGAGUUGGCAAAAACGGUCAUGUAGACUCAGAUGAUUUGGUCCCAGAACAGAAGAACCAGAGCAGGAUACGUCAACCCCAUCAAAGUCAGGAGGAAUGGGCCAGAGUGGAGAAGGCGGACAUGUUGACCACAGUCUCUGCUGUUGUCUCUCCCAACACCUCCGAGGCCCCCUCGUCUGCUAUGCAGGUCUCCUCGCCCGCAAAGCUGGGCCCUUUAUGGGUCUCUGCGUCUCCACAUCUCGAAAGUCUGUAAUGCCAGUCUCCUCUUUGUUUCCACGCCUGAGACGCGGGUCCCCUCUCCCAUCUCCUCUCCUGCUAAGCUCCCACUGCCAGUCUUCUCUCCCUCGACACCCCCAAGAUCUGAGGCACAGGUCUCCCCUCGGAUCCUCACGCUCCCCAUGCUCGCAUCUCGUCUCCACACCUGUCAUGCAGGUCUCCUUGCCGACCAGUCUCUUCCCUGGACUCCACGCCUAAGAUGCGUGUCUCCUCUCGCAUCUCCUCACCCGCCAAGCCCUCACUGUCAGUCUUCCGGCCCCUCUCCAUGCCCACAACGCCUGCAACGCUGGCGAUCUCCCCUACAACGCCCACGACGCAAGUCCCCUCCCGGGUCUCCACGCAAGUGUCACGGGUCUCCUCACCUUCAAUGCCCACGACUCCUGGGACGCAUGUCUCCAAGCCAAUCUCCACUCCCCGCACGCCAGUCUCCGCACCUGCAACACCCGAGACACGGUCUCCUUUUGGAUCUCCACGCUUCAGAUGCCCGCAUCUCCGGUCUCCACGCCUGGAACGCAGCUCUCCUCGGCCAUCUCCCCACCCCAGACCGCUGCAACGUCCGGGACGCGGGUCUCCCCACCGGUCUCCACGCCCCCCAUGCCCUCGACACCCUCGUCUGGCAUCUUUUCGCUCAUCUCUAUGCCUCCGAUACCAGUCUCCUCCCUCGACUCCACGCCACCAACACCCCAAGGCUGCUCUCCGCUCCUGUCUCCUCACCUCGCUGGUCAAACCCCACUGCCAAUCUCCUCGCCCCUCUCCACGCCCCCGACGUCUGUGACGCCAGUCUCCACGCCCCGGAUGUUGGUGAUGCCCCGGACAGAGACUUCCUCUCCAGUCUCCAUGCGUAAGCCCCUGUCGCCAGUCUCAUCGCCCGUCUCCACGUGCACAAGACCUGUCUCGUCGCCUACAACGCCCGUGACACCCACAGUGCAAGUCUUCUCAGCUGCCAAGUGCCCUCUCCUGCAACGGUGGCGACGCUUGACUCCGUACUGGUCUCCACGCCCGUUGCGCUCCAGCUGCGGGUGUCCUCGCCAGUGUCGGUGCCCUGGCAUCCGCGCUCCUGCCCUUGCAAGUCUCCUCUCCUGAAACGCGUGCAACUCAUGAGUCUUAUCUCCCAGCCCCCCCGAGGUCACUUCCCAUCUGUUCACUGGUCCCAACUCCCUCUUGGCCCACAAGGCUGGUCUCCUCGCGCAGACACACCAAUUCCAGGGAAAUCUUUCUUUGACCUCAGGAACCUAGAUCUUGUUCAGAGGUGGAAACUUGUUUAAUUGGAAUUUGGCACCAUUUGAGUUCUGCCUUGUCUGUUCCGACCUGGGAAUUUGGUUCUUCUCCGUCUCAGCAAUGAUCUUCCAGCUUCUCACUAUGGAUCAGUAAUCUUUCCCCCUCGAUAGCGCAGAUGGAAGGUUUGCUCUCUGCCCUCAGGCCCUCUCCAAACGCCAGCAAUUGAAUGGAUCCCUAUUCACCCGCUGUCUUGAUGCACCCACCCCCCCCACACACACACACAGAUGCACGCGCACACGCAGGCACACACGCGCGCGCGCAAAGCUCUGCCAUCUACAAGCCCAGGAAUCCCAUCACCCAUCAAGUGCACUAGACCUCAUGGACCCGUGGGAUCAGAGCUCCAGCUAUGAAUAGUCCAGAGAGAAAAGUUUGCCCCCUUCUGGUCACUCCCCUCUUUUUGUCUGCUGCGCCCCCGUGAGUGUAUAUGCUACGUCACUGCUUCCACUGUCUUCAAACAGGGCAAGCAAGAAGGUCUCGAGCCUGUUUGUCCACAGUUUGUGCUUAUUCACAGAGCCUUGCCUGCAGGACCUCUCUCGCAGAGAAGGUCCCAUGACUGAACUUGGUGAACGUGGUGGAAUAUUUCAUAUGUUGUCUAUAACUGUGAGCUGGUAACAGAUGCGCGUGCCUAGGUUUAGCGCUGCAAUGCAUUCAGUUGGAGGUAUGUCACCCGUCCACCAGACCCUCUAUGGAAUCCCAGAAUGCAGUUCUGCACAGUGCAUGUUAGGGCAUCAGUAAGACACCCAGCUGCCCAGGAGCUGAAGUGGGGUCUCUGCCACCCACUUAGGGCAUCUCCCCUCAUUGUUUGCUCCCCAGACAAAUGCCCACCUGUUUAGCUGCCAUCUCACUGGAGCUUAUUCCAUCUACAUUACUUUUUCUUUUUCUCUCUCAUCCCCUGCCUCUCUCUCAUUUUCUUGCCCACCACAGACCACUCUUCCAAUGUCCAAAAACCUUUAUUUCCCUUAUUUAUAUGAGCAACUUUGUUUAUUUGAGUCCUCCUUUCCUAGGACAUUUUCACGGGAGCAUAUGUUUUUAAUGUACAUAAAUAAGAUUGUAUUUUAAAUUUCAUUCUGUUUAUUUUUUGCACACCACUAUUUAUAAAACUGUGUGACACUGAGUGUAUUUAUCCCAUUGCUUCUCAUUGCUGCAUCGUAUUCCUUGGUGUGCAUCUCCACAUGUUGCUGGCAUCUUCCUUCAGUAAUGCCCUUAGGCUGCCUCCCACUCCCAUGACUGUGAAGGAUUCUGUGACAACCCCCUCAACUGUCAUCUCGUUGACCAGGAUGAGAGUUUCUUCCUCGAUUCAUUCCCAGGAUCCUGGCUACUUGGUCAUGUUUUAAACGUAUAAAACAUUUAAUCUCCAUCAUGGAUACCCCAGUCUACACUCUGACCUUUAGCCCUGACCCCUGUCAACCCACACCAUUUACCAGCUUUUUAUCAUUUCACCUUUCUGAAGGGCAUACAGAGAAAGCCUUUCCUUCAUGUUUUUCAAAAUAUCCUGUUCUUCCACAUAAAUUUUAGAAUAGUUGAGAAUUUAUUCCAUAUUAUUCUUUUGGGAUAUAAUUGACGUAUUACAUUGCAUUUAUAUUAUUUGCUUAUAUGAUUUGGGGGCAAAACUUUAUCAAGUCCACACACAGACACAAAGGGCAGGUAGCAUUCAGAUCAGCAUUGUUUAGGGUUGACAAGUGAAUUUGGACGAAUCAGCUUCUUGUUAAACUUUCCCAUUCGUAGGCAAGUUAUAUCUCCCCAUAUGUUCAGAUAUUUAAUGCCCCCCAAUAAAAGUUUACCAUUUUAUGCAGAAUGACCUUGACGAUUAUUUGUAGAUUUGUCCUUCAAUUACCCAGUCUUUGUUUUUAUUCUGAGAGGGCUCUUUUGAAAAGAAAUCAUUUUUUUUCUGUAAGAAGUUGUUGCUGGUGAAUAGGUCUCUUUUGAGUUGUGGGAGGUGAUCUCUUGUCCAGCAGCAGCCUUGGUGAAAUCUGUAACAUUUCUGAUUGUUUGCAGAUUUUCCUGGUUUUUUAAUGUAGGCAGAUAUCCUGGGCAAAUAAUUAUAAUUUGUAUCUUUUUCACCAAGUUUCCUUUAUCCCGCUUUUUCUUGACCCACUGGGCUGGUUAUGACCUUAGAUAUAAAGCUGAAUAUGUGCAAGAAUGGUGGAAAUCUGCAUCUUGCCUGUCAUU
Equus asinus (donkey) is the source of this 3848-nucleotide long non-coding RNA. NCBI's taxonomy places the organism in Eukaryota, Metazoa, Chordata, Mammalia, Perissodactyla, Equidae. The record is from Ensembl.